RNAcentral lists this ribosomal RNA (492 nucleotides) under uncultured bacterium. RNAcentral describes it as "bacterial SSU rRNA". It matches the Rfam family "Bacterial small subunit ribosomal RNA", at positions 28 to 521 of the family's 1533-position model. The record is from RNAcentral.
GAUGAACGCUGGCGGCGUGCCUAACACAUGCAAGUCGAGCGGGAUUUUCCGGAUUGAAGCUUCGGUAGAUUGAAGGAAAUGAGAGCGGCGGACGGGUGAGUAACGCGUAGGCAACCUGCUCUUUGCAGAGGGAUAGCCAUUGGAAACGAUGAUUAAAACCUCAUAAUGCCACGAAGUGACAUCGCUUUGUGGCCAAAGAUUUAUCGGCAAAGGAUGGGCCUGCGUCUGAUUAGCUAGUUGGUGGGGUAACGGCUCACCAAGGCGACGAUCAGUAGCCGACCUGAGAGGGUGAUCGGCCACAUUGGAACUGAGAAACGGUCCAAACUCCUACGGGAGGCAGCAGUGGGGAAUAUUGGGCAAUGGGCGCAAGCCUGACCCAGCAACGCCGCGUGAAGGAAGAAGGUCUUCGGAUCGUAAACUUCUAUCCUUGGUGAAGAUAAUGACGGUAGCCGAGAAGGAAGCCCCGGCUAACUACGUGCCAGCAGCCGCGGU